Molecule: long non-coding RNA, 15414 nt
Organism: Gasterosteus aculeatus aculeatus (three-spined stickleback)
Lineage: Eukaryota; Metazoa; Chordata; Actinopteri; Perciformes; Gasterosteidae
Source: Ensembl
ACAAUCUCACCGCACUACAUCCGUGUGUAGAGUUUCCGUCAUUUCGGGGUAUCACAUCUGGCAACAUCCAUCUUGUUGUUACAAUUAUUCUCAAAGAGACACUGAAACAUCAGGCUUCAUUGUGUGCAAAGCUGCUGAUUUUGUUUGAAGGAGUCACUCGUGAUUUGACUUGGCAAUAUCCCAUGAAUUUGGUUUUUACAUCACCCCGUAAACUGAAAUUAAGCACCAGCAAGAAGAAGAGAAGUUGCUGGUGCCGAUUGCAUGAAAUACAAUCAGACUCUGUGAUUGCUAUUAUAUCAGCUUUGUCCAAAUCAUCAAUUGUUUUCCGGGCAGCGUUGUGCUUCAGCCGGGGAAGGAGCUGGAUGGAAGGAUGGAUGGAUGGAUGGAAGAUCAGGCAUGGGCACAUAGACACAACAAGGACGGCACAGGGUGAUGGAGAGUGGAAAAAGUGGCAAAAUACAGAAAGAAAUGGCUGAGCAAAGAGAGAGAGUAAUAGAGAGGGACAGAAGUCACACUCGGGCUGUUGCUCAAUGAGGGAGCGGCCUCCAACGCCACCUCUAAUCUGUGUCCAGUCAGCCCUGACACACACACACACACACACACAUCAGCAUCUGUAGAGGCAAACAGUUUCGGUUACAUGAAAAAUAGUCCCAUCGCUCUACUGCUGAUUGACACAGGGGGUUAGAAAUGGAAUUAUUUUAUUGUUGGUAUUGUUUUCUUCUACUGUGUGUGCGUGUGUGAGUGUGAGAUGGUCGAUGUCACUGCAGGCCAGGUGUUCCUCAGGGUCCGCUGGCUCUCUUUUGGUUUGGGGAGUUUGAUGAAUGAAGAGAGUAAACAGGGAGAGCGAGCGAGCUUGAUAAAUGAUUGGAGAGUGAUGGAUUGACUGCAAUCCUCCUGCAUCUGAAGCCUCUGCUCCUAUUGUGUUGGCUGCUGACUCUGUCAGGGCCAUGGUCCUCUCUCAUCUGACACCUUUUUGUUUAGGCAACGUUAUGUAUUUGAGGAUUUUGAUGAAGGACAAAUUAACCGUUGCUAUGCGUACCUUUAGCUAGCAGGGUCGAUCCAGCUCUGCGCCAUAAACUCUCAUGCAAUAGAUUUCCUUCAUUUAUGAUAUGUUCAGUUUCCUUUUAGGACAUACAUGUAUAGUUAAGCGGUGUGUAAUAUUGAUACUCUUUAUCUAACACUACAAUAUAGUGUUACUACAUAAAAAUGGUCACUUCAUUCCUUCACAUUGACCUUCAUGUCAAGUUUAACGGGAGCUUUUUUAAGCUAGCUUUAUACUCCGUUACGUUAGCAAUCUGCAAUUCUGUAUUUUAAGAUACAAUAACCGCAGAACCACAUAAACAACAUAUAUAGUUAUUCUUCAGCUGACAUGUCAAAUUUUGUAUAAUAGGUGAUUCAGAGAAAUUUUCCGGGAGUGAAUUUAGGAGUUGGUCUGCUUGGCUUUCCAGUCCAGAUACUUCCCAGAGUACACUUCAUUAAAACAGGGGGACUAAUUGUGUUGAAAUAACUCUGAAAGAGUCAGCUUAAGUUUAACUCAACACUGUAGGCUAUAGUUUACACUAAACAUAAAUAAAUAAACUCUUUGUAUUGGCAAACCUGGUUGUAUUUACCUCUGUUGUUGUAAAAAUAACUCAUCACAUAAGAGUUGAUAUACUUGGACAAUGCAUAUUUGUGUAUUAGCCAUUGACCAGCGUUAGCACUUCGAAGCUAUGCUAGGCACUGCAGGUACUAUACUGAAUGUACACACAUGCUGGUUUUGAUUUUGUGAAUUGAGUGAAUAAAAUUACUUGUCUUUACAGGCUCUGUGUUCUUCUCAUUUCAUUGUCAUCUCUUAAUGUCAUUGGUUCACUUUUACACUGUGAUCUGUAACUUUAACUUCUCUCUUUAUCUUUUAACCUGGUGAACCACUUUAACAUCCUGGUAUGUCCUUCAAUAUAAUGCCAAUAACUCUGAAAUAGCUUUUUCUGAAAAUGAAGGCUCAAAGACAGAUGAGGAAGAGGACAAAGCUCCUCCAGAGCCACCAAGGACACUGUACAACUGAUUUCUAUCACCAAACAAGAACUUCAAUAUUAUGACAGUUAUUAAAAAACCCAGCUUGAGCUCUAUAACAAUGAUUUUUUUAUGUCUAAAGCGAACAUUUUUUAGAUUGCAGCUUUGUGGAUCACAGCAGGUCAUGUGCCAAACAACUUAUGAGUUCAUUAUGGGCAAUGCAACACCACUGUUUCAUCUUCCGAGUAAAACCAGCAAAGCGCCUGUAUAUCUUGGCUGCAUUCUUUAAUGUUUCCGCAAUAGACUGCAACAAAAGCUUGCGUGGGUCUAGAUUUCCCCCUUUUCUUUCAUGCAGUGAUGACAGUUGACCACAGCUGGAGCCUGCUGCUUUGCUAUUAGCUCCAUGGUCGAUCUAUGAGCCUUAAACCUGUGAACUUAGAACCUCCCUGGGCUCCUACGCCCACGGAUCACAAGGGCUUCAGGUGUGUUGGCAAAUGUGACAUGUUACAUGUAUCAUGCACGUGCGUACAUCAUAAAGACCCCUGAGAAAACAGCUGCUCGCACAGCGUUCCUACAAACACUGCACGUUGCCGAUGGAUUUUAAAAGCCAGUCAAUAGAGAAUCAUACUUUUAAAAGCAAAAGGAAAUGCUGUUCCAUGGAUGCCCUUGGGCAAGGCGUUGAUCGGUUCAACAUGUCGCUCCCUGUGUUUCCUUCCUCACGACACUGGCAACAUUUCAAAGCAGCGAUUCCAAAUCAAUACAUACAUCACAUCCUGCUCGAUAUCAAUCUAGAGCAGAUCAGGGUGUUCCAUUAAUAACGUUUAUUUGACGAUUACCGUCAUAAGCUACAGCUCACCUUCCGUGGGGGCCCGGCCAGAUCAAUUGACAUCUGCUCCGAUUGGUUAAUCGCAGGUCGCAAUUCUGCUCGGCAGCCUAUGAGACCACCUCCCUCGUCUGUCAAUCAUAGGGGCUAAUGUGCGCAGGCCCGGUCAAUUGAUUCCCAGUCAUCUGAACAUAAUCCCUCUGCAAUUAACCAAUUAGGUCUUAAACCAACGCAGCACACACCUGUUUGGAAGCGCGUUUACUGCAGUCCGAGCUUUGGAUUGAAGGCCGGCAUUGAGGAAUGUGUGUGUCUGUGUGUGUGAUUGUGUGUACUGACGUUAUCAUGCAUGAGAUAUAUAUGAAGAUAUUAUUAUUAUCCCUGGGGCCCUCCACACGAAGAUCCAUGUUAAUUGAGAGAUACGUAAUUAGUUUACGAGUUUCGGCGCGUGUGCUUUUGUGUUCGUAUGUGUGUGUUUUUUUGUGUGUGUGUGUGUGCGCUGGGAGUGUUUAAUUGUGUUUAAUAGCGGGACUGUUAAUUAAACCGGUUAAUGCUGCAACUUUAUGGUUUUACUAUAUCACCCGCUGAGUCCUGCCUCUUCAUUAGCGGUUGUCCCACGCGUAGGUCCGCGGUUCGUACCUCUUGCGUCCGCGCUGUGUGCAUCGGCGCGUGCUGACAGCCAUAAACCGGCAGACGAGCAUGUCUCUUUCAGCAGAGUCAAUUUUACAGCCUGAGUUGCAGCUCUGAACUGGCAAAUCAAUAAAAUCAGAGGGAGUUAAAUAAUUUAGAGCGGGCUCUAAUUAGUCUUCUAGUCCUGCAGUAUGGAUUGCUCCACAAUAUUGAUGACAGAGUGCCUGUUUAUGGAAGAGAUUGGAGGACUGAGCUCUCUUCUUCCCUGCCUCGUUACCAGAGUGCAAGGCUACGUCAUAGAAUAGCGGCAGUGAUUCUAAGUGGAUUCUUAAUCUUUUUUUUGGAAGCGGGGAGGGUAAUAAAGCAGAAGUGAUGGACUCGAAAGGAAGCAAUGGAUUACAAUAUACAGUACAGCACUGUUUGGUUUGGUUUGGCUUGUUUCGGUGUAAUUGUCAGUAAAAAAGGUCACCCCAAAUGUGUACUUUCAUUUAACAGAAUGUGCAACAAUAUACAAGUACAGUAUACAAGUGUCUGAAAUAGAAAUGAAGGGGGCUUAUAUAUAUUCAAUGAAAAAACUCAUUCAUGUCACCAAUCAUUUGGUGUUUAAAAUGAGAUAUUCUCUUUGACCGUGACUCUAUAUGCUAUAUGCAUAUAGCUCAUACAAAUAUCAUUAUUUGUCUUAUCGGUAGGAGGGAUUAGGCAAAAAAAGGGCAGGGAGAAGCACACGUGUGAUGAUGAAAGAAAUGCUCUACACAUACAUGAGUGUUGCAGGGACGACUCUCAAAAAUUAAGAAUUAGUUUCACUUUUGGUUCCCUUGUCUCAAAGCCAUUGCUCAAAGGGUUUUUGGUUGGGUCUUAAAUAAGGUCCUUAAUAUGAUGGUUUCAAUCAAAUAUGCUUUUACAGUAGUUCAUGAGUGGUUGUUGCAUACUUAAAGAUCUAAGAGUUUGAUUAUGUUAUGGACAUGGACAAGUUAUGGACCUGGUAUCUUUUAUUUGUGUUAUAUUGUAUAAGUAUAGGCGCUGUACUCUGGAUUUUAUGCAUAAAUGUUCGUGGACCUAUUUUAGUGCACAAUUACAAAUUGAAAAAAGUCAACCUCGGAUAAACACUGUUACGCGUUCGCUGAGAUAAAAAAAAACUCCUCUAUAUGUACAAAGUUGACGCAGCCGGGAUACGGUUUCAUUGUUCUAAACUGGCCCGCAUUGUUUCCGUCUGGCCUGCUUGUUUGUGUGCUUCUGCAAGUGUGACGUGCAUGUUCACUCGCCGCAGUUAUCAGUGCAUUGUCAGUGCCUCGCUUGUAUCUCUGCUUGCACCUCCCGUGUGUGUGUGUGUGUGUGUGUGUGUGUGUGUGUGUGUGUGUGUGUGUGUGUGUGUGUGUGUGCGCGCGCGCGCGUGAACGUGUGGCGGUUGUUAUCAGUCACGGGGGGGAAACUAUCGAUCAUCUCUUUUAAUUACCCCGAGCAUAGCGAGAGGCCUAAAUUAACUCCUCUCCCCUCCUCUGGCUGCUGAAAAAGCCAUGCAUAUUUCACGAGCGGGAGACCAAUCGUAUGUCACUCAGCCCUUCUCCUCUCCUGUGACAAGACAAGACUUAUCACUGUUAUUUAUCUCUCCCGUCCCUCCCUCCCCUCCUCGGGCAAGCCUGAUGUCUGUGUGCAAAACAAAGGCGUGAAUAAUAAAUAUACACAUUGUGUGCGCUUGAGUUUGUACCGGAGUGCCUCGGUGGAAAAAAAGGAAAAAAUCUCAAGUGUCCUCAUACUUGGCUGGCUUGCUUGUUUGUGUGUGUGUGUUUGUAUGUGAGCAGCCAUGUGUGUGUGAGUGUGUGUGUGUGUCCCGGCUGCGAUACGAGAAGCAGUAAAAAGCCACAGAGGUGCAUUAGAGGUGUUUUACCCUGCUGCUGUCAUUGGGGCUUGUCUGCUGCUGGUGACACGGAGCGUUUUCCUUCAAGAGGCUAUUCUGUAAAGGCCUCUUCUCUUCCCUUCCCUUCUCUCCAUCUUUCUGUCUCUCUCCCCUUUGCACUUUUUCUUUCACGAUAGUAAAAAAAAAAAAAAGAUACAAUCACAGAAAAAUGAAGAAGCGAUGGAGUAGUCCAACCACAUUGAUUCUUAACUUUCCCAUGAUUGUAUCUUUCCUUUUUUUCCUCUCUCUGGCUAAACUGCCGUAUGCUAGUGUCCAUCCUGACGGCGAUCUUUUGGAAGAACGUGUAAAUGUCACACACUUAAAUACACAUGAAACUACAUUUCCCACUUGUGCAAAGGAACACAAAUAGUUCAAAGGACAGUUUCUAAUAAAACGAGCCAAAUGACGCAAACAUGUAAACAUGCACAUCCCAUUCGUGGUCUGCAAACAGCAUCAGGAUGGUAAUCAGGAGCAUCGAGAUAAAUCUUUUCUUCCCUCAUCUCUCUUUCUUCGACAUACAUUUUCGCUUAACCAUAGUCAUUGGCAUGGCGCCGGCUCGCAGAGGUCAAAUCAAACCCUUUUUCACUCACAACGUCCCCACAAUGUCAGAAAAUCUGAACCUCUGCAUCACUGUUGACAGCAGGCCCGUCCCAGUGAGGAUCGUGCCAUCAGCACACUGGUUUUCUAUGAAAGGCCAUAAGCAUCUAGAGGGCAGAAUCUGAUUAAUCCAAACAAGCUCCAAAAUAAAACAUUUCAACCGGCCAAGAUUCCGCUGUAUUUAUAGCAGGCCGUUUGUGUGUUGCAUCCGGGUUUGCUUCUACUAGUGAAGGUCUAAAACUGAAUCCAUUUUAUUGCAAAUGUGGCUGGGAAUGAAUGAGAUUUUUUUUUAAAUGUAACAAUUUCUUAACAAAUUAAUUUCCUUACGAAAUUAUUUAUCUGGCUAAAAAAAUCGGACUGUUUUAAUGCUUCAUAACAUAUCCGGCCUAAUAAUUACUAAUAUUGCUCUGUCAGAGUGUAUUUGGAACUUUUGUAGGCAGAGUUUAUAAAGAUCAUGUCAUUUUUGACAACAUCUCUUAAAGAGAUUUAGCUUGUUGGUGAACUUUUUUAAAAGCAAUAGAAGAAAUCUGAUUACGCCAAUUUGCCUGAAGAACCUUUGACAGGUAUCACAAAUAUGUCUGCCUCGCCCACUUCCUUUCCUCCCUCACCGCUCUUUAUCAAGCCGCAAUGGUUGACGCCGGGCUAUGAGAGCCAUUUGUUAGUUCUCCAGCUCCUUCCAACUCCUUCCUGCCAUUUGAUUUUCUUCCCUCACAUUAUAAUCUCUUCCUCUCAGUGUGUGAGUGCAUGUGUGUGUCUUAACGGGAGAGAGAGAGCGAGAUUUGACUUAUAUUAGUGAGCUGACAUGGUAAACAAGCCUUGCCUGUCUGUCUGUCGGUUUUCCAACAAUGAGUCAGAGAGUCCGUCAGCUACACAAUCAGUCAACCCACGAGUCAGUGAAUUAUCCCACAGCUACUAAUGGUCCUUCCUCAAGCCCACUCCCAUUCUCCUCUCACACUCACACACACACACACACACACACAGCAGCCAUCCUCUGUGUAAUUUAAAUGACUGUCAGGUCAGUGGCGAGAGCAUCACCUUGCCACGUUAAAAAUGCCAGGCGGCUGCUAUCGUCACCGCCAACAAGCUGCCCAAACUGUCACACACACACAUGCACACACACACGCACAAACACACACACACACACAGGCGUGGAGAGCUGUCAGCCACCGGUCACAAUGCAUUUACUUAGUGACAGAAUUCUAAUUAGUGGUCUGACUGGUGUCACCUGACUUGGAGAGAUCGAGAUGGAAAGAGGUAGAGGGAGAUUUGUAUCGUGGAAGGGAGAGGGGAAGGCAUUGUGGGAAAAAUAAAAAAUGUCGACGAGUGGGAUGGAAGGUUGAGGAGGGGAAUAGGGAGAGGUGGCGGCCGGAGAACGGAGAUGGUCACAGUGAGAGAGAGGAAGAGGCAGAGGAAGUGACAGAAAGGAAAAAGGAAAAAGGAGACGCGGACACAAAAAGAAGAAAGUCAGACGAAGGAACACAUCGGCGCUUGUUUCCCCCCCGCCGGCCGCAUUUACAUAAAACGUAGCAAAUUACCUCCUACGAGUGAUUAAAGCCAUCCGCAGAGCUGCCAACUGCCGGCUGGCCUAAUUGCCAGGCGGAAUGAGGGUGCUAGAGUUUAACCCCACGUGGCCCCUUGACGUGACUGCACCCUUCCCUGUGACGUGCCAUCACAGGCGGGGGAGGCGGUGUUGCCACAAGUAGGGAGCAAAGAAGACUGUCGUCCCACCAAAUACCUGUUUCCAACCGCUCUCCAAUGGGAGUAGCUAGCAGCACAAGCUCCUAAAGUCACUCAGUGAAGCUAAAACAUAAAAAGUUGGCAACCCUUGACCCUGGUGAAGAACAUGGUAUACAGGCAGAACAAGUACAAGCAGAACAAGUACAGAUAGAACAUGUACAGGCAGAACAUGUACAGGCAGAACAUGUACAAGGAAAACAAGUACAGGUAGAACAAGUACAGGCGGAACAUGUACAAGUAGAGGUAGAACAGGUAGAGAUAGAACAUCUAUAGGCAGAACAAGUACAAGUAGAACAUGUACAGGUAGAACCAACGUGAUCUCCAAAACCUGUUCGGAAAAAUGUACACGAAAUAUUUGACAUUGAAAUUCGUAACAAUACAUACUAACUGGCGCCCCUCGAGUGAACGUCUCUCCACCAUGUUGGAUUCUUGAGUGAACGUCUCUCUGCCAUGUUCGACGGGGUUACGAACAGGUUUUGGAGAUCAGGCUGGGGUAGAACAUGUAUAGGCAGAACAUGAACAAGCAGAACAUGUACAAUCAGAACAAGUACAUGUAGAACAUGUAUAGGCAGAACAUGUACAAGCAGAACAAGUACAGGCAGAACAAGUACAAGUAGAAUAUGUACAGGCAGAACAUGUACAAGCAGAACAAGUACAAGUAGAACAUGUACAAGCAGAACAAGCACAGGUAGAACAGGCAGGACAAGUACAAGCACAAGUAGAACAUGUACAGGCAGAACAUGUACAGGCAGAACAUGUACAAGCAGAACAAGUACAUGUAGAAAAUGUACAGGCACAAUAUGAACAAGCAGAAUAUGUACAAGCAGAACAAGAACAUGUAGAACAUGUACAGGCACAACAUGUACAUGUAGAACAUGUACAGGCAGAACAUGUAUGAGCAGAACAAGUACAUGUAGAACAUAUACAGGCAGAACAUGUACAGGCAGAACAUGACCCAUGCUACAAACUGUUUCUCAGUUUUGUUCCACGUUACAAAUUGUAGGAUAAAACACCAGCAGCACAGUGUGCAGCAGCUGAGAAUAGGACUUCAGUCUCCUACCCUCUUUUGACCUUUGCUGAUCCCUGCAUCUCUUCUCCUCCACCCAGACUUCAGUUCACCACUCCAUCUCUACACUCGACUGCCACUCUGCCUCUUCACUCGCUCUCCAUGCUCCAGCUCUGCCGCCUACCUCGCAUGGUUUUGUUCCCACUACAGCUUCAAAACAGCCAGGUUGUGGACCACAUAAAUAUUCAUCAGAUGCAAAGUCCUGAAUUGUAAUUGUCCAGUGUUCUCACAUUAACUGCAGUCUUUAUUUCAGUGAUCAUAUGAACCUUCUAGAUUUUCUUCACCUGAAUAAAUAAAUAAGAAUGAACUUACUAUUACUUCUCCGAAAAUGCGAUUUGAAAACAUUUUUGGCAGACAGUAGGAAAUGGAGCCAGUUUAAAACACCAGAGCACAGGGGACACAAGAGGCUUUUAAUCCCCUUGAAGAGUUCAUCCUGGCACUAUUACGGAGCCUCUACAGUAGGGUUGUGGGGUUAGCUCUGACCCUGGAGGUCAGGAAGAGAGAAGAGGGCUAUGGGACUUAGUGAGCCCAGGUUUGAGAUCUCUUCCAGGGGUCAAGCAGCACAGAGGUUCCCUCUCCAUCCUGCUCCCCACUCUGGUACUAUUAACUGGUGGUGUGAAGAGGCACUUUGUUUCCCUGCUCUGCAUUUGUCUCUCUCUGUCUUCUGGCCUGCAUGGCUAGUUGAGUCUAUCUCUGGUUGGUUGGGAGAGAGAGGUCCUUGGGACUCGUCAGAUCCAGGACAAAGAGCUCUUUAAGGGGCCAGCAGUUAGUGGAGUGUUCCCCUCUGUCUUAAUCAACUUCAGACCCUUUACACCUCCAGUCGUUCUCAGCUGCCCUUAUGUCAAGGACCGAUAUACAGAUCCACGUUUUGCAGAGAUUCAAGUUUGCAAUUCUACUGGGUAAUGUUUCAUUGUCUUUGUUUCAGUAUUAUCUUUGUUAUACAUUUUAUUCAAGCCAAUAUUUGUAGCUAGAGGAGUCGUCCUGUCCAUCCAGUCCUGUAGAGACCCCUGAAUAAGGCCCGUUGAACCCCACUGGGGAAUAAUGUGCUCUAGACCUGCUGAAUACAAGAUAUUUGACAGAAGCCUUGUGUUGCUAUGGGGGGAGGGAAGACAGCAGUUCCUGCAGCUAAAAUUGCACGACCAACGUUGGUGAUUUCAUUGAACAAGCCUUUCUCAAAGGUUGGUUUCUUAAAUUAUUUCUUUUUCAAAGUUGGCAAAGUUUUAAUUGUUCUUUCACGUCAGCUAUAAUUCACCAUGUUUAUUUUUGUCCGAGGUUCAAGACCACUAUUCACAUGUUUAGAAAGUGUAUGAUCGCUUAUGCUUGGAAUGCAUUUGGCUGAGGUGUUUCGACAGCACAUGUAGGGCACAAUCUGUAAUUUUAUCAUACUAGAGAAGAACUUUUCCCUUGUGACACUUCAAAAUGUGGACAUUUGUGAAUGGUGUGACCGAAGAUGCCUUAAUCUCAGCAGUGCUGACAUGGGGUUUGGUUUUAACAGACUUGUUCCCAGGUGCCCCGGGGGGGGCUCAGUAAUAGGGGGAAUCAACCAGUCCUCCAGUCACAAGUCUGCUUCUUUCAGUAUGUUUCAUCGGUGUGCUUCUCUGCUCAAUUAUGUUUUCUUUAAGUUAAUUUCUUUGCUUUGCUUUUAUGUUCUAUCAUUGCAUUUAAUCUCAUCAAGGUUAUAAUGGUUAUUUUUAUAAUAAUAAUUCUAGAAGCUUAAGAAACUUCAACCUGUAUCAGGAUGAUCCUUUUUAAUCAAGUUCAACUGUCCCCCAUUGAUCAUUUUAAACCAAACAAAAGGAGGAACUUCAUUCUCGUAUAAUCUGCAUAACGCUUAAGGACAUGGGGAAAAAAUGUAUGCUAAUUGAUUAACAUUCCUAUCAAGGCCUUGUAAUUAUUAUGAUGGUGUCCUGGGUCAGUUUUGAAAGGUAGAACGUAAGUUUAUGAGGUCCAUGAUAAUAUCACCACGACUCAGGCCUGGAUCAGUGACGGACCAUGAAUGCAUGGUGGAAAGUUAUGCCAUAAUGUGUAUCAAAUGUUGUCAAACCAAAUUAAUUAUUAAUUAUCGAUACACAUUUGUGAGUAUUCUAUAUUGCAUGUAAUGUGAUUGAACUAUGAACCUUUGGCAAUGCAAAGAGAGGGGAACGGAUGAUUAAGGAUGAAGCAAAACUUCUCUCCCUUCUCACCUGUAAAGCUGCCCUGACGCACAGCAAAUCAUCAUCAUCAUCAUCAUCAUCAUCAUCAUGGUCGUCGUCGUCAUGGUAUCUCACACAUUCCCCUCUUCUACCCACCGAUCAGCUGACGGCCUCUCGCCUUUCACGUCCACAGACAUGACCUCACAUAUGUUUACCUGUGUGCCUGUGCAGUUAUGUGACAAGCUGAUUGCCAUUACGUGUUCGACAGACGACAAGGGUCAGCCGAGUUCGCCCCCGAGCCCCAUCUCCACACGGUACGAAGUGAUCCAUGCUGUUGCCAUUGUGUGGAGGGGAGGGGGACAGGAGGAGGAAAAGAGCAGACGGGAAAUAACAGCCUGGGCUUAGAUGUGGUUAAACGUGUUGUAGGACUUAACAAUCCUGAUAUUGUGUUUAAAGAAAGCUAAAUAUCCCUCUUCAUGUGAGAAAGACAGUUCAAGGAUGGAGUUCAACCUCCUCUAAACCAGGUUCUCCAAACCUUAGAUUGAGAUCUUUUGAAUUGAAGCGUCACCUUAUAUAUUAUCUAAAACGAUGGUGCUCUCAUCACAGAUCUCAAGCCCUGACCGUGUUGGCUGCUUCGUCACUCACUUUGGUCCUGACGGAAAUAUAACAUGAAAUGUGCCGAAGACCUUCUUGUCCCCUCAGGAUGGAUUUAGUUUGGUUAUCCUUUAACCGUUCAGCUACAAACGUCAUCAGGACAAAAUGUCACUCCCUCAAUACUUUUGUAAUUACAGUGAUUAAGGUGAACGCUGCGUCUGCUUACAGACUGUUAGCAUGGAUGCUCAGCGCAUGUUGCCAUGCUAGCACACACACACACACACACCCAAGUCACAGGAAAUAACCUACCUUAUUAAACGCAGUGCAAAUCUAAAAUACCUGUACUGUAAUUAAAUGUCUGUAUGUCACCGCUUUUAGUAUUGCCGUGACUUUGUAGUGUCGUUACAUUGUGCAACACCGAGAUGGGAAAUACACCAGAAAAGACAGAAGAAGUCAUUGUUACUUUGUAACCUCUGUGCCACUUCUGUUGCCCUCGUUUUUGUUUUUUUACUGUGCACUGACACAGCAGCCCAACAUCACAAGAACCCUGUGUGUGUGUGUGUGUGUUGUAAUUAGAGUAAUGUCAGUGAGUCAAUGUGCUGUGACCCAGGCCACAAGAUACCGACAACAUUACACUCGCACACACACACUCAUUACCUCUAUGCUGCAGUUGACCGCUUCACAAUGACAGGAACCACUAGCAAUGCUUCCUCAAAGUUCCUUUGGCCAAGUGGAUGGAUGCUGUGUGUGUGUGUGUGUGUGUGUGUGUAUUCGCAGUGCAGAGUGAGAAUGACUGAGGGCAACAAUGACACAGACUACAUUCCCUCAUUCCUCCUGCGACAAACUCAAAGGUAGAACUUUGACAGACUUGUCUGUUAGCAAAUGUUACCGGAGUAGUUAUAGUACACAUAUACAGUAAUGGUGUUUUAACAGAAUAGAUCAUCACCAUCACAGUGGUCCUCAAGCUUUUGCAUUGCUUAAUGUGUCCACUGUAGUGGUGCACCGCUCUUCCCUCUUCUAUUCACUUUUCUCCUCAUCCUUCAUCCUUUCUUAUACCGCCAUUUUCCACUAAUAUCUGUCUUUGCACUUUUUCUCCUUCUCUCUACACCGACAUGCUCCAUCAUCCCGUUUUACCCUCCUUUGCUCCGCUCCAUCUCUGGGCUUACAGCAGUCAGGGCGCUUAAGGGAAACACUCAAGUAGGCAAAGCAAAUGUCAGAGCAAAUGGUUGCUCCCCCAGGAGGGAGACAACUGAGGAAUCCUUCUUUCUCUUCUCAAAUCUCCCUUUUUCAUUUUAUUAUUUAUAAAUCUACUACAUUGCAAGCUCGCACUGUCAGAGCACCAACGAAAAGGUACCACUCCAUAGUAUAUCACAGAGGCUGUGUACACUUAAGGAUAAAGAAAAAGGCUGAAUCGUUUUCUCAAAUGCAGUUAUCAUAAAAAUGAGCUGUUUUGGCAAAAAAAAAUGAUAUUAUACACUUUCUGUAUACCUGACAAAGGUCCAUUCACGUUGAAUGUAAAAGUUUGCUGGUUUCUUUCACCACUUUGGUGAAAUAUCUUGGCAAUAAGUGGGCCUUUUCACAAUCCCCUGAGGUUGAAUCAUUAUGUAUGUCAACCGGCAGGGGGACGUCUUUAGCUUUGAGUGAAGUCUCAACUCCCAUUGGAUGGAUUGCUAUGACAUUUUGUACAGGCCUUCAUGGUCUCCAGUGGAUGAACUCUUCAGCCAGGUUCAGACAAACAGUAGUGUAGGUGCCGCCUGAAACAGGAUUCCUUUGCUACGUGCGUAUCUGUUUUCUACUCGUGUGCUAUUUCAGCUUGCGUUACUCCCAGCUGGACUUUCUGGAUCGGACUUCAUUGUCUCAACCAGGAAAACCUUAAACCUUCACGUUGAAUAAAGUGAGCUUUACUUCCAUCCCAGAACGACUGUCACGGUGUGGUGCACUUCCUGUCUUAUUUUGUAAUUUUCUGCCACUCGUGUCCCCGGGUAACUUCACUUCCUGCCUGGUCCUGUCAUCCCCUGUGAUUGUCGGAUUGUUUCCACCUGUGUCCAAUCACCUGCACCUCCCUAGUGUAUUUAAGCAGUGUGUGUUGUUUGUCACUUGUGGCGUCAUUGUCCUUGGUCACGGAUGUCCCUGUCUACCGUGGAUGCUCCUCCUCCUCCUCCUCCUCCUCCUCCUCCUCCUCCUCCUCCUCCUCCUCCUCCUCCUCCUCCUCCUGCCUGCCUGCCUGCCUGCCUGCCUGCCUGCGUCCGCCUUUUACUUUGUGGAGUUUUUGACUAUUAAAGUCUUUUUUUGUUAAAAGUCUGCGUUUGAGUCCUGCCUUCCUACCCAAUCCUGACAACGACAAACCAUCUCAAACCUCGUCUACUGAAAUAAUUCACUUUGUGUAUUACUGUCACAUACUUCUCAUACGUGUACCUAUGUGUACAUACGUGUUUUUGCAAGUUUUUAAUUUUUUAUCAUAGAUCUAUUCACCAACUAAUGAAUGGUGUUUUUCUUUUUUGAUCCUAUGCUUUGAAAUCUCAUUGGAACCUUGACACAGUUUUAUGUUAUUUCUCUGGAAUCUUUCAAAAGUUUGAAAAUACUAAAAAUUUGAACAUCAACUUUUAUCCAUCUUGCAAUCGGGUUUUCUUUACCAUGAGCUUUAUAGCUGGUCGGAGUUCCACUGACCCGUUGGAAGUAUCCUCAGAUAUUCUUUUUACGCAAAUCCCUCAUCGACGCGUGUCACGAAGCACCUGUCGGGUGUGCCACUUAGUUCUUGUUUCGUCAACACACCAAUUGGCAUAACUAACGAUGGAACAAAAACUUCCAGUUACGACGGAGCAUUUGACAUAUGUAUCUCUGUCUGAUUGCUCCCGGAGGGGUCGGUACUUGCUGAAACAGUUUUUCUCACUGUUGAGGCAACAUCAUUAAUGGUCCGUGUGCAACCACCAGCUAUCCCAACAUCACGAUCCAUAACUACAGACACUGGGAAAAAGAAGACGAGGGAGGGAGGAAGAGAGGAGCGCAGGGACCUCAGUGAAUCACACUCGCGGCUCUCCCCGGCUCUAUUCAUCUGGGGGUGAUGUAGGACGCCGCGCUUCCUAUGAAUUAUAGAAACGAGCCCAUAAUAAAGCAAUAAAUAUAUUUCUCAAGGAGAGCCGCCGAGGCAUUAGCUGCGACAUUAGCAUAUAGGCUGCGUCCGCUCUCUAUCUGAGGCGGUGAUUAACUAAUGGGGCGUGUGUGUGUGGGUGUUCGUGUUUGCACGUGUUAAGGCAUGGUGUGUGUGUACGCAGAGAUGAUGUUUUUAGAAGUGUGUGCGUGUAUGUCUGGACAAAUGAGUGUGUGCGUGUGUUGGUGCAUUGUAUACAGUACGAGCAUGUGUGUGUGUGUGUGUGUGGUACGGCCUUAGUUGUAUUUGGAUGUUCAAUGAAUGUUUUUUCUGUGAAAAAGUCCUUGAAGAGUGUAUGUAGCAGACACCCCUACAUGGAAAUGGUAUCUGGGGCCAUUGUGAGUUAAUUGGGGAAUCCAUUUACACAUGCAAGCCCCCCCCCCCCCCCUCCAUCCCCCAGUACGAGCAAUUUAAAUAUGGAAUUAAGUCAUGUCAAGUCAGGCAAAUAAGAUACAACAUAUUUUCACCUGGUUAACAAUCUAAACCACUCGGAAAAAUAUUUGCGUUUUUUUUCUCCAAGUCCAGUAAAUAAAAUGUCCUCAUUAGCACACAGGAUGUGGGGUAUAUGGUAUAAAUAACAUUUACAUUCUGCGUCAAGUGUCGCCAUUUACAGCACAAUGCAAACCCCUUCAUUAUGUUGUGUUACGCUGUGUGAAUGUGUGGGAAGAUGUAUGCAUGCACAUGCUGUGAUUAUUGGUCUUGUGUGUGUCGUAAUGCACCGUUUCUCCCUUAAAUAAUUUCGCUGCCUAGUGAAAGAGGACCGAUAUGAAUUGAAUGUUUCCUCGGGCCCUCUGUGGGAAAUAUGUG